Molecule: long non-coding RNA, 1662 nt
Organism: Camelus dromedarius (Arabian camel)
Lineage: Eukaryota; Metazoa; Chordata; Mammalia; Artiodactyla; Camelidae
Exons: 3
Source: RefSeq, a predicted model, not a curated record
GUAGUCCUUUUCUUUAUAUUCUGCUGAAGGAGGUUGGGGAAAGCACUUCCUUUGUUCAUUUCCUUAUUCAGCAUUUUUCAGCAGUGACUUUGCAUCAGGGCCUUGGUAGGUGCUUGGAAACAGAAAACAAGUAAUGACCCUUCUCUGCAGGGCAGGAAGCCUAGACCAAAAGCUGGGUAAUGUGAUCCGAGCUACGGUAGCCAUUUGAAGACUCUGAGGACAAACUGUACCCCCGGAUUUGCUUGAGCUUCCCUUGCCUUCUGGUUGGUACACACCAGGUCACCACAACCCAGAUGGGCCUGCAGCCCACAGUACAGUAUGUACCUCGAUCUCCUCUCCCCUCUCGUCGGGGCCUGCAACAUGAGCAUCCCUGACUACGUGCAGUGUGCUGAGGACCACCAGACUUUCCCCAUGGUGGUCGAACACGUGGGGAUCAUUUCAGAGGAGAAUUUCUUUUGCAUCUAUAAGUGAAUCACCUUGGUGAGUCAGAUCAGUCCGUGCGGCUCCCAGUGGGCAAUCUGUAUCCACUACAGGCACCACUAUGCGCCCAAGAAUGGGUGGAGCGUCUUCCAGACCCACCGCAAGGUCUUGGGCCUUGUCAUCAUUACUGACUGCCUCUCGGCCAAGGUUUCGAGAAGCUCCACGUGCAGAGGAGCUGUAUGGCACCACGCUCUAUGACUCUCAGCUCUUUGACUUUCUGCUGCAUGGGGAGGUGGCCGAGCAGCCGCGCACCGAAGUGGCCUUCAAUUUACGAGGACUGCAGGGUGGUGGAGAAGAGGAUCGAGGACUUCACUGAGUCACUCUUCAUCUUGCCUAAGUCCAAGUGGCUGGACGGUGCAUCCGACAAUUUUGGGGACAAGAUCCUCCUUCUCUGCAUCCCAUUUGAGAAGGAGGACAUCAUGGGACUGGACACAGAAAGCAGUACGUUUUGGUUACUGAAUCCCUCGAAUUCCCAUAUGAAUAGUAGCAGCAGCUAGUCAGUUACUGCAGAGGAGCCCGCUGGGAUUGUGAUCGAGACCACGUUGAGUAUACAGAUCGCUCUGGGGAGCACUGCCAUCCCAAGAGCGCUGUCAUCUGAUCCAGGAAUGUGCGUGGUGUGUCUGUCCAGGGGAAAAGAGUACAAUUCAAAAAUAUAAAGAUUGUGAGCUAAUGAGAUAGACAAGACAACCGAACAUUUGUUAAAUAUCCUUUCAUGCCGGAAACAAAUGUAUUAUACACACAAAAAGCACACAAAUCACGGUAGUACUGCGGUUACAAACGUGGGUCCGAGUUCGAGUCCUGCUCUGGAGUUACCAGUCCUGUGAGAUGGAGAACUGGUAGGUCGGCUUAGCCUCUCCCGGACUUGUUUUCUGUCCUGCAGAGAUGGGGCUCGCUAGGCGUCCCUCUCCCGUAGAGGUGCUGUGGGGUGUAAAUGGCGCGCGUGGGCAGCCCGAGCACAGCUGCUCAUUCCUCGUAAGGGCAGGAUAGCAUCGCUUUUGCGAUGACAGCUUUAUGACCGUCCCGUGUAGACUCUUAGUGCUCCGAAGGGAUGCCUUGUGGUUUGGAGAUGGGAUUCUCACUUCUGUAAAUACCCAAGGAUUGUGUUAUUGGGCCGUGCUGAUUUGAAUCUAUUCUUUAGAAAGUACAUAUUGUAGAUAUAUUUUUCAAGCAUGCAUGCUUUUU